Molecule: non-coding RNA, 82 nt
Organism: Artomyces pyxidatus
Lineage: Eukaryota; Fungi; Basidiomycota; Agaricomycetes; Russulales; Auriscalpiaceae
Source: the annotation of a GenBank genome assembly
GGGCACUUGGCACAGUUGGUAGCGCGUACGCUUCGCACUCCGUGGCUGCGUAAGGUCUAGGGUUCGACUCCCUAAGUGUCCA